CUAGGACAUUCUAGAUGCUCAAAUUCUGUUGACUAUAUUAAUGAAAGCAUGCAGUUUUUCAAACAUAAUUCCUCAAAUUCUUCUGCAGUUGGCAUGGGUAGGAUAGGAAAUAAGACAGGAUGUGUAAGUGUGUUGAAAAUAGGAAAAGUGACUUAAGCUGGUACAGUUGGGCUCUAGUGCCCACUUGUACUUCAAUUAGAGCAACUCAACGUACAUUAGCUUUGCAUUUGGAGGUUAGUGUAAGUUUUCAUGGAAAAAGCAUGCAUUUUACAUCAGAUGGACCAUUAGUUUUAAUAUGGAACAAUGUAUGAGCUUUGGAAAAAGACCACUUAUUUAAGCUCUAUGAAUGAGGCAAGUGAGGUGCCCGGACACAUGUUUAAGGUGGUACUCGUUUUGAGGGUCACUUAUUUGACUUACCCUGUAGCCAAACUGGACUUCAGACCUUUCUCCAAUAUCUUUUGUAUUCUUUCUACCAAACUCUAUUCUCCUUUCCAAUUAAACCUAAGGAAUGCCUUCUUAGAAUAUAAGCUUUUCUGCAGUCACCCAACAAGAGUCUAUCUCUCCCCCCACUCUGAACUCCAAUGGAUCUUUGAUUUACACUUUUCAGACUUAACCCUUUCUGUUAAUAAUAUAAUAAUCCUGCCUGGCUACCCAUCUUAGCUCAUACAUAUCUUAGCUCACUUACUUGAUACAAGCUCUCUCUGGCAUAGGAUUAUAUUUAAUUUGAAUUUACAUGAUCCUCUACAUCUAAUAUGGUGAUUUUCAUAUGGUAGCUUUGCCAUAAAACAGUUGAACAUUUAAUGAAUAUUCUUCCUAUUUGGAGGGAAUAGCAUAGUUCUUAUAUGUGGAUCUCUAGAGGUUGCUACUUCAGCGUGUGGAUUGAAUCUGUUUUCAAAUCUCCAGUAACUCAUUGUAUUUUUUUAAUUGUUUCUCCUUAGAGAAGUGUUUAUUCAUUUUGAGUCAAAACACCUUAGGAAGUCAUAGUUCUCUUUCUACUUUAGUGAAGCACUAAGUGGGUCUGUCCCCUUUAACACCAUGUAAGUGCCUCCAUACCCUGGCUUGUCCUCCUUCUGCUGUCCCUAUGGCCUCUUCUAAUUGUCUGUUCUCACAUGUUCAUGGAUCCUUGGUUUUGUCUUCCUGGCAAUGGCUACCCGUAAUCUGCUUUGUAUUUGCUGUCUUGCUCGAAUGAGGAUGAGAGUUCUGUCUUUACCCCCUCCCCCCAAGCUGUGUUCUGCCUUGUAAAUUAAAACACUCCUCCUAUUGCUCAGUCCUGGGAUUUGGUGCUAGGCAGCCCCUGCUGCUUACAGUAAUUAAUGGAUUCUUAGGUCUAUACCUGUUUCUGUGCUUACUACAAUUCAAGACAGGCCUUUCAUUACCAACUGAACCUAACUAUUGGAAAUGGAAGCAGGGAACUCUGUAGAAGCAAGCUGCUUCCAAAUGAAGGAGGGUAUGGGCACCAGGAAGCACCACUCCAAUUGAGCUGGCCUGCCUAGCACUCACUUUUCAGAGAUGUGUACUGUUUCUCAUUCAUGUCAGGAUAUCUAUCCACCAGAGUAAUUCAGAACUUAAUAAGAUUGAGGUAUGUCUCAUGUGGGUCCUUCCACAUCUGUUCCUCUCUUGACAUAGAUCUUUAGUACUCUCAGAGCCAUGAGUUUAGAUGCCAAAUUUAAAAUUCACACACUCGUGCCAUCUGAGAACGAGUCUUAAAAAAAAGAAACCCAGACAAAAAACAAAACAAAAAACUUCCAGCAACCAGAUUUUUUUUAAAAAAAACAAGCAAAACAAAUACUGCCCCCACCUCCCCUCACAAGCUCCCUGAAAAUCACAGCUGCUUAGCCAAUGAUAAAAUAACCGACUUGGCAAAAAGACAAGUGAUUCGGUUAACCCAAAAUUGUUUCCUUUCAGAGUAAAAGACAUGUAACCAAUAUCCAGCUACUCUAACCGUAAGCACUGGAUAGCUUUAAUUGUACAUGUUAGUGUACUUUAAUAAACUUAAAUUGCGAUGCUAAGAGGGGUUAUUUUAUUGUAUAUUUUGUGGAUUGAUAUUGAUAGCUAUUUCACUGUUUUUGCUUCAGCCCACUAUGAAAACUGGAUAUUGAAUCAGCUAGAAAAAUGAAUUCCUUACUGAGCAUUUCAACUUCAACUUGGGUUCCGAGUGGAUUAAACGUAUGAUGUUGUAACACUGUUAUCUGCCUGACAGGAAAUGCAUAGAGACACCAGGCCUUGCUUCUUAAACUUCGAGAAGCCUCAGCUAGCAAAUUGCCACUUAUUAGCUUGUCUCACCUAUAAAAGAGCCAUGGAAGAGACUCGCAGAGAACGGAAGUGAUUUCCUGAUGACAGCAGGGGGUGCUCUCACUAGACUGAAGGACAGCUACGUUCUCAGAGCAGUGGGAAAGGAAUAACACAUUGCCUUACUAAGACUCUCUAUGAGACUUUAGAAGUGCCUAAUACCUGCCUGGAGCAAAAGAAUUAAUAUGCUCUAUUCCACAGCUCUGCCAUCUUCAACUUUGAUAAAUACUUAAAAAUGUGUUUUUAAAAAGUCAUUAACUUCUGGAAUAUAGGAUUCAGCCAUCAUACUUAGAAUGUGUGAAACUGUAGUGCGAUUUGUAACAGGAUGUAUACCACAUUUUUAAUCAGGGAAUUGUGUUUCUUAAAGCUAAAAGACCUGUAGUGAAUUAAGGCAUUCAGCUCAGCCAGAUAUUCCAAUCAUUAAAUGAUCGAAGAGGAAAUCUAUAGAAUCUUAUUACAAACUUACAAGAAGGAUAACUGUGGGUCUCAGCCAUAAACUGUAGUAAUACAGAUGAACUGGACACAUAUGUUGCACAAUAGGUGAUUCAGAGCAAUAUAGCCUAUGCUGUUUUAUGAUAUGGAAAGCAAUCAAAUCUUAUUUGCAAAAAAUUCAGAUCAAUUGAAUUUUAAUGAGAAGCAGGUGCUGGAGUGUAGCAUCCACAAAGAAUUCUGGGAAUGUUUAAAAUUAGUCCCAUAUUUGCCAGGAGACAGUUGGGUACAUAAACUUUUUUAUUUCUUGAUUCAUGGGUCUGUUCGGACUGUAGAUUGCUCUGCCAUUCUGAGUUCAGCAAUUUGAAUAAAUUAUGCUGAAAA
RNAcentral lists this long non-coding RNA (3102 nucleotides) under Lynx pardinus (Iberian lynx). Lineage: Eukaryota; Metazoa; Chordata; Mammalia; Carnivora; Felidae. The record is from RNAcentral.